AUUGAACGCUGGCGGCAUGCUUUACACAUGCAAGUCGAACGGUAACAGGUUAAGCUGACGAGUGGCGAACGGGUGAGUAAUGCAUCGGAACGUGCCCGGUCGUGGGGGAUAACGCAGCGAAAGCUGCGCUAAUACCGCAUACGAUCUGAGGAUGAAAGCGGGGGACCGUAAGGCCUCGCGCGAUCGGAGCGGCCGAUGUCAGAUUAGGUAGUUGGUGGGGUAAAGGCUCACCAAGCCAACGAUCUGUAGCUGGUCUGAGAGGACGACCAGCCACACUGGGACUGAGACACGGCCCAGACUCCUGCGGGAGGCAGCAGUGGGGUAUUUUGGACAAUGGGCGAAAGCCUGAUCCAGCAAUGCCGCGUGCAGGAAGAAGGCCUUCGGGUUGUAAACUGCUUUUGUACGGAGCGAAAAGGUCUCCUCUAAUACAGGGGGCUCAUGACGGUACCGUAAGAAUAAGCACCGGCUAACUACGUGCCAGCAGCCGCAGUAA
This 493-nucleotide ribosomal RNA is filed under the name uncultured bacterium. Its description in RNAcentral is "partial 16S ribosomal RNA". It matches the Rfam family "Bacterial small subunit ribosomal RNA", at positions 30 to 523 of the family's 1533-position model. The record is from RNAcentral.